GGUGCAUUACCAAUUUUAUUUAAUUAUCCAUCAGCGGCCAUUUGCUUAAAACUGUCGUGUGGUGUCGGUUUAUUGAAAGUGUUCAUUGAUUGAUCAUUAUUAGUUUAAAAAUAUCUACGAACAAAUCAUAUCAUUUAAAUGUUCAAACUGGACUUACGACAUCAUGUGGACAACUUAUCGAAGUUUUAUACCAUGUGCUGCUGACCAUAUAUCACCGCGGAGAAUUUUGUUAUUAACUCGUUAUUAAAUAGCAAUAUUAAAGAGUUUUUUCUCUUAACAUGUAACAGGUAAUCGUGCUUAAGAAGCAAUUCGUUCGUGAAUAUUUAAUGGUUGUCGGUAAAAUCUGUAGAAUGUGCAUGGGCACGGAUUUAUUAAUGAAUACAAACUUUGUUUGAAGCUUUCUCAAGAGAAGCGAUCGGAAAUUCUCGCGGAGCUCUGAUGAAUCAUAAACACGUUAUCGUCACAAAAAAUUGUUGGCGGCGGAUGGAAUAAUGGAAUAACUUUGUUUACUCAAACUAACCACAUGUUCGCCGUUGCUAGCUGCUUAUGGUGUAAAACCAUGUUGUACACGUGGAAAGAUAGUGAUUUGGAAGAUCUUAGAAAAUAUUUACGAAAAUGCUAUGGAUAUGUUUCGAUAAACUUCAUCUAGUUAUCAUUAUGAUUUAUUGCAUUUUGGUAUUGCAGUUCGGAUAAUAACUACACUACACGUAAUCUCAAUCUGCGUUAAUUGCCGAACUACGUUUUGGACAUUCAAAAAUAAAAAUAAACAAAAACGAUGAAUUGUUAGUAAAUGUGAUGAAAUUAAUAUCUUUAUUUUGAUUGAUGUGUGAAGUGUUCGUGGCUAGAUAUGGCUGUGUUUGUGAACACUAACUUUCAGUUCACGGGCUCAUCAAUACUCUUCCUGUGAUAUGUCUCUUGUAUCUGACACGGAUGGCAACUCGACGACAGUGUACAACAGCGCUGCGCCCUCUGCGGGGGACAUUGCUGAGGAUCAGUACGGUGUUGCCCUGGCAAUCUACUCCGUCCUCGCCCCUGCCUCCUUCGUUUUCGUUAUCAUCAUCAUCCUCAUGUUUUUCAUCGCUCUCAUUCUCAAUCCACAAAGUAGACGGCUGAAUCUAUGAAAAAGAUGAAAUUCGAUACUUCGUCGUCGAUGAAUAACCCGUCCAAAAGGCAGCAAGUGACAAGACAGAACAAUUGUGCACAUGAUUGAUAAUACUGUUUGGAUCAAAUACACCUUGUAUAGAACAUGUUUUGAUAUGUUCGUACUUUCAAUCGAUCGCCAUUUCAAAUGCAUUGUUGGUAUUUUCGUUAAUUUAUAUACAAGAGCUGUGCCGUCCACUGUACUUUUGACAUUUGCUAUAUUAACAUGUGCUUUAAUAAAACAAACACUUCAUCAUAAAAGUAUCGUGCUAUAAUUAUGCGGUGUAUAUCAUUCCAUUUUAUAGGUGAAUAAGAUGCUUAAAUGUUUCCAGAAUACUGAAUAAUAAACGAAAAUGCCUAAA
This is a long non-coding RNA of Mya arenaria, 1502 nucleotides long. RefSeq lists it as uncharacterized. NCBI's taxonomy places the organism in Eukaryota, Metazoa, Mollusca, Bivalvia, Myida, Myidae. The record is from RefSeq and is a predicted model, not a curated record. The transcript is spliced from 2 exons.